This 119-nucleotide ribosomal RNA is filed under the name Oryza sativa Japonica Group (Japanese rice). Lineage: Eukaryota; Viridiplantae; Streptophyta; Magnoliopsida; Poales; Poaceae. The record is from RNAcentral.
GGAUGCUAUCAUACCAGCACUAAAGCACCGGAUCCCAUCAGAACUCCGAAGUUAAGCGUGCUUGGGCGAGAGUAGUACUAGGAUGGGUGACCUCCUGGGAAGUCCUCGUGUUGCUUCCC